CAAAAUCACCGUAUUUACUUUUUUAGCUUUUUUAUGGACCACCUAAAUUUGGGAGGCGAUUCCGUCACGGCAUAAAAAAGUCAAAACGAAUUCAAGCCUCCCAACCGGGAGGCUUUUUUUUU
Pseudoalteromonas tunicata D2 is the source of this 122-nucleotide non-coding RNA. Lineage: Bacteria; Pseudomonadati; Pseudomonadota; Gammaproteobacteria; Alteromonadales; Pseudoalteromonadaceae. The record is from Rfam.